RNAcentral lists this non-coding RNA (26 nucleotides) under Drosophila melanogaster (fruit fly). The record is from RNAcentral. Lineage: Eukaryota; Metazoa; Arthropoda; Insecta; Diptera; Drosophilidae. RNAcentral also lists the same sequence under 3 other names.
GACCUCGGAUCAGGUAGGGAUACCCG